This is a non-coding RNA of Microgenomates bacterium DG_75, 2925 nucleotides long. The record is from Rfam. NCBI's taxonomy places the organism in Bacteria, Candidatus Microgenomatota.
GGCUACUCUAAUUAAUGCAGAUAAUGAAUGCCUUGGCUGUUUGGGCCGAAGAAGGACGCGGCGUGACGGCGAAACUCGUCGGGAAGGUGUCAAGCAACCUGCGAUCCGGCGGUGUCCGAAUGGGGAAACCUAAUCCUUCGGGAUUGCUUGAGACUGAAAAUAUUACCUUCGGGUGAUAUAUAGGUUUCAAAGGGGCCAGCGCCCGAAUUGAAACAUCUUAGUAGGGCGAGGAAAAGAAAUCGAAUGAGAUUCCGUUAGUAGCGGCGAGCGAAAGCGGAAAAGCCCAAACCCUGUUUCGACAGGGGGUUGUAGGGCCUUAAUAUGGGAGUGCUGCGGAUAGUUGAAGUACCUGGAAUUGGUACGCCAAAGAAAGCGAAAGCCUUGUAAACAAAAUCCAAAGCACCUCUAGAGGAUUCCUGAGUACCACGGAAGAUUUACUUUUGUGGGAAUCUGGGGCAAUACCCAAACAGACCGAUAGUGAACUAGUACCGUGAGGGAAAGGUGAAAAGUCCCCCGGGAGGGGAGUGAAAUAGAACCUGAAAUUAUCUGCUAACAAACAGUCAGAGUCGCGUUUAAUGCGAUGAUGGCGUGCCUAUUGAAGAAUGAACCGGCGAGUUCUCAUUCUCUCUUAGUCUAAGUUACUUUGUAACGGAGGCAAAGGGAAACCAAGUCUUAAAAUGGCGUUUAGGAGAGAAUGGGAGACCCGAAACCGGGCGAGCUAUCCGUGGGCAGGGUGAAGCUUCGCGAAAGCGAAGUGGAGGCCCGAACCAGUGUCUGGUACAAGAGGCUUGGAUGACCUGCGGAUAGGAGUAAUAUGCUCGUGCUCGGUGAUAGCUGGUUCUCCCCGAAAUAUAUUUAGGUAUAGCGUCCUGGUAUAAACCAGAGAGGUAGAGCACUGAAUGGAUAUGGGGCAGAAAUGUCUCAUAUUCAAUCAAACUCCGAAUUCUUUGGUGUUCACCAGGGCAGUCAGUCCCGCCGGGCUAAGCUGGUGGGUCGAGAGGGAAACAACCCUGACUCUCGUCUAAGGUCUCUAAAUUGAACCUAAGUGUGAAAGGAAGUGAAGUCGCUCAGACAGCUAGGAGGUUGGCUUAGAAGCAGCCAUCCUUUAAAGAAAGCGUAACAGCUCACUAGUCGAGGGGCUUUGCGCCGAAAAUCCAACGAGGCUAAGGUUCGUACCGAAGACAGAGGUGGUCGCUUGCGAUCGCGGUAGGGGAGCGUCCCUCACUUAGUGAAGCAGAACCGUAAGGUUUUGUGGAAGGUGAGGGAGUGAGAAUGCCGGUAUGAGUAGCGAGAAACCGGUGAGAAUCCGGUUGGCCGAAAAUCCAAGGUUUCCGAAGCAAUGGUCGUCAACUUCGGGUUAGUCGGUCCUAAGGCGAGGCCUAAUGGCGUAGUCGAUGGACAACAGGUUGAUAUUCCUGUACCUUAACUGUUUCGUUACUAGUUGGGGAAGGACGGAGUUUGAUAUGUCUGGCGUCAUAAUGAUUCGGCGUUUAAGCUAUAAAUCAGUGACAAUUGGCAAAUCCGUUAUCACGACGGUGAAUAGUGAUGAAAAGACCUGAGCUUGUCGAGGGUCAAUCAGACGGCGUUAAGCUUCCGAGAAAAAUUUCGCAAUCAGAAACAGUUGAGACCGUACCGCAAACCGACACAGGUGGAUGGGUAGAGAAUACCAAGGCCAGCGGGAGAAGGGGGUUUAAGGAACUCGGCAAAAAAGCUGGGCGUAACUUCGGGAGAUGCCCUGCCCACAGCACUUCGGUGCUUGUGGGUCGCAGCGAAAGAUGCUUGCCGACUGUUUAUCUAAAACACAGGUCUGUGCAAAGGCGAAAGCCAAGGUAUACGGGCUGAGACCUGCCCAGUGCUGGAAGGUUAAGGGGAGGGAUGAUUCUUUUAGAUGAGUCCUGAACUGAAGCCCCGGUGAACGGCAGCAGUAACUAUAACUGUUCUACGGUAGCGAAGUCCCUUGUCGGGUAAGUUCCGACCUGCACGAAAGGUUUAACGAGCAAGCAACUGUCUUGAGCCCUCACCCGGUGAAAUUGAAAUAGCUGUGAAGAUGCGGCUUACUUGCUGCAGGACAAAAAGACCCCGUGGAGCUUUACUACAGCUUGGCAUUGAAUUGAGUUUACUGACUGUCGAGAAUAGGAGGGAGUCUUCGGACGCCAGUGAAAUACCUCUCUUCGGUAUGUUCAGUUCUAACCUAAGGACCCUGGAAACGGGUUUGGGAACAGUGUCUGGUGGGUAGUUUGACUGGGGCGGUCGCUUGCUCAAAGGUAACGCAAGCGUACAAAGGUCGGCUUAGCGCGGAUGGAAAUCGCGCUGGACGUACAAAGGCGAAAGCCGGCUUAACUGUGAGACUGACGGGUCGAGCAGAUGCGAAAGCAGGUCUUAGUGAUCCCCUGAUGCUUUGUGGAAGGCACAGGGCUUAACGGAUAAAAGCUACCCCGGGGAUAACAGAGUAGUCGGGCCCAAGAGUCCAUAUCGACGGCCCGGAUCGCUACCUCGAUGUCGGCUCAGCGCAUCCCUCGAUGUCGGCUCAGCGCAUCCUGGGGCUGGAGAAGGUCCCAAGGGUUGGUCUGUUCGCCCAUUAAAGCGCUACGUGAGCUGGGUUCAGAACGCCGUGAGGCAGUUCGGCCUCUAUCCGCAGCAAGCGUUGGAUACUUGAGAGAAGCUGUUUCCAGUACGAGAGGACCGAAAUGGGCCAAUCCCUAGUGUGCCAGUUGUUGCCGUCAGGUGCACCGCUGGGUAGCUACAUUGGUUCGGGAUAACCGCUGAAAGCAUCUAAGCGGGAAGCCCAUCUCAAGAUAAGGUAUCCUUCCCUGACCUUUGGGUCGGGGGCGAGAUCGGUAGGAGAUUACUACCUUGAUAGGCGACCGGUGUAAGCGUAGCAAUACAUUUAGCCAAGUCGUACUAAUCGAUCAAAGGAGUAGCUUG